This 586-nucleotide ribosomal RNA is filed under the name uncultured bacterium. RNAcentral describes it as "partial 16S ribosomal RNA". It matches the Rfam family "Bacterial small subunit ribosomal RNA", at positions 355 to 1375 of the family's 1533-position model. The record is from RNAcentral.
UGGGGAAUUUUGGACAAUGGGCGAAAGCCUGAUCCAGCAAUGCCGCGUGUGUGAAGAAGGCCUUCGGGUUGUAAAGCACUUUUGUCCGGAAAGAAAUCCUUGGCUCUAAUACAGUCGGGGGAUGACGGUACCGGAAGAAUAAGCACCGGCUAACUACGUGCCAGCAGCCGCGGUAAUACGUAGGGUGCAAGCGUUAAUCGGAAUUACUGGGCGUAAAGCGUGCGCAGGCGGUUUGCUAAGACCGAUGUGAAAUCCCCGGGCUCAACCUGGGAACUGCAUUGGUGACUGGCAGGCUAGAGUAUGGCAGAGGGGGGUAGAAUUCCACGUGUAGCAGUGAAAUGCGUAGGGAUGUGGAGGAAUACCGAUGGCGAAGGCAGCCCCCUGGGCCAAUACUGACGCUCAUGCACGAAAGCGUGGGGAGCAAACAGGAUUAGAUACCCUGGUAGUCCACGCCCUAAAACGAUGUCAACUAGUUGUUGGGGAUUCAUUUCCUUAGUAACGUAGCUAACGCGUGAAGUUGACCGCCUGGGGAGUACGGUCGCAAGAUUAAAACUCAAAUGAAUUGACGGGGUCAUAGCUGUUUCCU